This 21-nucleotide microRNA is filed under the name Amborella trichopoda. Its description in RNAcentral is "atr-miR8586". Lineage: Eukaryota; Viridiplantae; Streptophyta; Magnoliopsida; Amborellales; Amborellaceae. The record is from miRBase by way of RNAcentral.
UUUUCUCUUAACAACAGAGGA